This 8866-nucleotide long non-coding RNA is filed under the name Homo sapiens (human). RNAcentral's name for it is "HSALNT0305944". The record is from RNAcentral. Lineage: Eukaryota; Metazoa; Chordata; Mammalia; Primates; Hominidae.
AGACCCAGGCGGGAGGCGCGGAAGCAUACAGUCUGCGGGGACAAGGACUGAACGGGGUAGUGGGAGCCAGGUGCCGAAGGGCUGGGGCUAGGGUGGCGGCGCGCAGGGGGCGCGCCUGGGCGGGGAGUGGGCUGGCGUCUCCUUACCUGGCCUUCGGUGGAGCAUGCUGCUGCGGGCUGGGGGCGGGGUGGGCGCUGCGUCCCCAGGGGUUGACUCCGCAGCGCCUUCACUUCGGGGGCAGCAAGGCGCGCGCUGCAGAGCCGGGAGUUGCCAAACUUGCCAUGUCCAGAGCGCGGAGGCAGCCUGGGCCACGCGCUCACCGCAGCCCGGGCACCUCGCGCUCCUCCGCUUUGUUGUGUUCCGCCGCCAGUCCCCCUGCGCCUGCCUGCCAGUGUCCCCGAGCCCUCUCCUGCCGCGGGACGUUUCACUGGCGCUCAGGGAGGCCCCUCGGGUGGGCAGUGCCACUUUCCUCCUGGAGGCGCGCGUUAAAGAUCUGCCUGGGAGCGCCCGGCGGGCGGCUCGGCUUGCGCUCUGAUGAGGAGGCUGGGGCCCAUCGAUUCCCACCCCCUACCCACUCCCCCUCCCCUCCCCUCCGCCGGGCCCCCCCAUCAGAAGCUGCUUAGGAUCGGCGCUGUCAAAUCCAGCCCAUCUGCUGCAAUCAUAAUCAGUCUCAACCGAACGGUUCUGACAAAUCUCCGCCUGGAGCUGGAGUUGGAGAAGCUGGAGAGUCCCUGGUUCCCUUCACGCCCCCACCCCCAGCCUCAGCUCUGUCUGGGUGGAACGAAUGUCUGCUAAUGAACUAAACAAACAGGUCUCUUAAUCUUAUCAUGGAGCUGACCCAGAGACUGGCACAGAUAUCCAAAGUAUCAUAAUUGGCAGGUCAGAAUUAAAACUACAUACAUCAUGGUGACUUUAUAGCUGAGGCAAAGUGGAGCUCAAGUGUUACUUUCCCAGUAAGCAAAUCAUAAUGAAGUAUCAUGCUGGUGACUAAUUUAACUAACAUUGUCCAGGAAAUUGCUGUUGUCCAGGAAGAGAAGAGUUGAGCCGAGUGUCAACUACUAGGCUUCUGGCACCAUCCUGCACAAGAAAUUGGAGCAUAAGGGACAUUUCCACAUUCUAACUUUACAUGAAGACUCAGGACUUUGAAAGCCCAUGAGAAAGUUUUCAUAAGGAUUUAUCCACAAUUUCUUCUUUGAUUUGCUCAGAUGUGAAGCAGGAAACCUUCCAGACAUCCUGAACCUCUGAACUUUUUGUGGAUUGCCCAUCAACACAGGCAAACAUUCAUGAAGCAAUUCAAAAAUCUCUUCUCACUGCAUUAUAAGCAUGUCCUUACGUUAUUCAUAUAUCAAGAGCAUGCCCAUUCCCAACCCACAAUGGAAUGUGAGCCUAAUUACAUGUUCCUUUGGAAUAAGAUCUCACCAGCCCAGGAGUGUCAGAAACCCUCUAUCAUAUAUACGUAUCUUGUUUCCAAAAUGAUCUUCCCAAGCCACCCUAACAGGCCCCCUUCAGAAUGCUUCCUGCUGACAAGUGAAUCUGCUUUUUGCCUUUCACCCAAUCUCAGCUCAUGCUUUCUCUGUGAAAAUAUCACAGACCACAUCUGACAGUGGUCCAGCUAAUUAAUGUACUCCAAUGUCUAGCAAGCAUUUGACAGGAAAAAUAAUCUAUACAGUAUUUAUUGCAAAAUCUUCACCAAUGUGACAAAGAUGAAUGUAAACUUUACAUAAUCAUUUUUCAUUUGUUAUCCAAAGUUGAAAGUGAUUUUCAAAUGCUAACUUUAAAAUUAUGAUGAGGAAGAUAACAGCUCUGCUUUAAAACUGCUUGGCAAUGGAAUUUCUAUAGUAUAAUGGUUUAGCAAUGAGCUAGAAAAAUAAACUCUCUUGCUAAUGUAGUAAAUGGGCCAGAAAUAAACUUCUCAGGGAUUUGGGUGGUGGGGUGGGGUGAGGGAGGGGCACACAGAGGGGAUAGUGGAAUUGGAUUUCUGGAAUAAAUGAUCUGAAACCCUUAGCACACUAUAUCUUCAAAAAGCAAUGUCUUCCUUUAUAUAAUGCACGUAUCACCAUCACGAUACGAGAGCAACUCGAAGAAUCUUAACGUAUACCACGGUAAACACCUACGGCACCCAACUCAGUCUACAGCAGGACACCCAAAAGUUAAAUUCACUUUGGCUGUGGCUGUGCUCCAGGUACAUAUUUUCUCAUGAGCUUUGUUUCUUUGUUCUAGAACCAUCCUUCCCAAUAUUCCUUAACAUUGAAAUUAUACAUGUUAAAUUAAUUAUUGUUCAUUUAACUGAUGAGCUGAAACUCACGUCCUUCCUUUUGAAAGCUAAAGUAAUCUUCUAAUAAAAGGUCAGGAAUUAUCAAAUUUACUUGUAAUUAUUACUAAUUCUUCUGUGACUUCUUUUUUUUUUUUUUGAGGUGGAGUCUUGCUCUGUCGCCCAGGCUGGAGUGCAGUGGCACGAUCUCGGCUCAUUGCAAGCUCCACCUUCUGGGUUCACACCAUUCUCCUGCCUCAGUCUCCUCAGCAGCUGGGAUUACAGGCGCCCACUACCAUGCCAGGCUAAUUUUUUUUGUAUUUUUUAGUAGAGACGGGGUUUCACUGUUAACCAGGAUGGUCUCGAUCUCCUAACCUCGUGAUCCGCCUGCCUCGGCCUCCCAAAGUGCUGGGAUUACAGGCGUGAGACACCACGCCCGGCCUCUUCUGUGACUUCUUAACCACAAAUAAAGUCUUGGCCUUGGAAAAAGGAAGAUCUGAAACAGAACAAGGCAAUUAAAAAGUGGGUGGAGGAAGUAUAGGAGUAGUGGAGAAAAAAGAAAGGAAUGGAUUUUCUAAAUUUAAAACACUCUUUGCCCUUUCCUGAAAUAAUGACUUAUAUUCUUUGAGUUCACAAGAGAGUAAUUGGAUAUGCAUGAUGCAAUGCUGGAAUUUUAGGUAUUUUGCCUAAAGGUUAUUAACAAUUAGUACCACUAGGGGAAAAAUCAUAAAGUUAGUUAGAAUAACAACCCUCUCUCAAAGGAUAAUGAAAACUGGACUUGUAAUCUGGUCAUAAUAAAAAUAUAUUAUGUUUAUAUUGGAGCCUCACAUGUCAAGAGGAAAACUCACAAACUAGAAUAUGUCCAACAGGUGGCCAUGACUAAAUGAAGACUGAAAAACAAGUUGUAUGAGGACCAAUGAAGGAAUCUUCCUUUGAAGCAGUAAAGACUGCGAAAAAAAACAUGAAAAACUGUCUUUAGAUAAAUCCUUUAACAGGAAUGGUACACAGAACAGGGAGAUGUUAUAAGUGGAGCUACUGAUGACAGCAUUAGAGCCAAAGGGUGAAAGGCAGAUGUUGAGUCAUUCAAUAGAAGAGGUGUCUGAUCUCUUCCUAUCCAAUGUAGCAGAAUCCAUCCCAUACUAUAUCUGAAAGAUGACCACUUUGCUUUGACAUUUGCAGUGGUACAGAACUCACUAUCUCAAGAAUACCUUCCUCGGGAUGGUAAUAAGUAUGAGAAAUGCCCUUUCUAGUUCUAAAUUUCUUCUCCACAAGACAACUCAUUCCAUUUUCAAACAAUUAUUAGAUCUAUCCAUCUCUUAGUCUUCUAUUUGUCAAGCAAACAUCUCCAAUUCCUCACAUCAUUAUUAAUUCAGUAUUGUGAACCUUGUACCAUUUUAGUCACCAGCUUUGUGGAUAAUCUUUGGAUUGUAGUGUCUGUAACUGACAUCCAAAUUAAGUGCUCUUGAUAUGGUCUAACUAGCAACUGACCCCAUCCAUAUUUCUAUUUCCAAAGCAGAGAAACAAGAAAAUCAAUUGGCCAAUAUAACUGAAUAAAUCCAGGUAAAUACAUAUUUGGCUUUCAAUUAGUCAGGAAGUCUGAAUUUCUAGAGGAUAUUGAAGAUACAGCAUCAGACAAUGCAUUUGUCUGAUUGCUGACAACUUUUAAUUUCCCUGUUCAAGAAAAUCGAUCAAUGUGUGUUAGCUAAACACCUGUUAUGUUCAACCCUGUGUUAGUCAUCAUUUGAUGUGUAACAGAAGUGUAAGGCCAGGUACCUACAAUAUUUGUAGAGUCAAUACUAAGGUACAUGAAAUAAUUUUAGAGUUUUUACAAGAUAUACAUCAUUAUGUAUACUUAUAUGAAAUAGUCUCAAGUUCAGCAGGGAAGACUGGGCCCAGGUGGGCUGAGGAAUGCAUGUGAAGAGGUAGGGAGGCAGGAAACUUGAAGGAUGGUUAGGGCUUGUCUAUUUGGAAUGGAGAGAGAGGCCACAAAGGAGUGCGUGUGUAGAAAUAAUGAGUAAUAAAGGAGGUCAAGGUUAGUAGGGACGUGUGUGGUUACAAAUAGAAAUAUUUGGAUUUGUACCAUAACAUUUCUAUUACAACUUCCUUUCUCCCAUUCCAAACAUGCUUGGUUUUACAGAAAAAACUUCCAGGACUCAGAUUUCCAUGGGUAUUAGUUUGCAAACUAAUCCCUGAUGAGAUAUUAUGAGGAGCUAAGAGAGUGAUGCUAGAAUUCUCAAGUGGCAAUGGCAAAUUUCAGGGCUGACUUCCUGGAUAACCAAUUCUUUUUUUUUAUUCUGAGCAUGGGAAUUUCAGUUCAUCCAGCAGAAGAAAUGUUUUUUGAUAGAUGUGACUUUUGGUACAUUUUGAAUUAUGUCAUCUUGGGGACAAAUGGUCCCAAAAGCCAAGGUCCUAAAUGUGUACAUCUGAUCCAACUCUAAGAACUUUUGCUCAGUUGUGACGUCAAAGAAUUUCUAUUUUAGAGUGGUCUUCUGCAACUGAUACCAUCCAUAUUUCUGUCUCCAAAGCAGAGAAACAAGAAAAUCAAUUUGCCAAUAUAACUGAAUAAAUCCAGGUAAAUACAUAUUUGGCUUUCAAUUAGCCAGGGAGUCUGAAUUUCUAGAGAAUAUUGAAGAGACAGCGUCAGACAAUGCAAUUUCCUUUAAUAGGGACCAUAACCUCAGAGUUGCUGCUCUGUUUUUUAAUAUUGUACAAUUAACUUUUUUUUUUUUUGCAGCACACUCUGCUUAUAGCUUCUGUGGAAACUUAAACAUUAUUCAAUAGAAUAAUUUCCUGGAAAAUCUUUUGAAAGUGGUCACAGCCCUGACCUUGCUCUGGUGCCCUGGGUCCACCAGCAUGCUGUUUCAUUACCUCAGGAAGGUUUGGUGCCAAGAGACAGUCCAAGAGUUAGUGCAUAAAGAAAGCUAGGUUCAUAAAAGAAUUAAUAUCUGCCUUCUUUCAAGGAGGGAAACUGCCACUUCCAACCAUUUUAUGCAUCUAUCACUUCUCUUCUAUCUUCAUCAUUCAACCCUUCAACUGGCCUACCUAGAUGACAGGUAAAAAUUAUAGAUUUUUAACUCUUAAGAAAUAACUGCCGAAGUCAUUUCUUCCAAACCAUUCUCAUUACCAAUGGGAAACUCAGGCCCAGAAAGCCUAAAUGACUUUUGCAAGACCACAGAGUAAGUAGCAGAGUCAGGACUUAAACUCCACAUUGCAGAAGAUGAACCAGGGAUGAUAUUUUUAAAACUUAGCAAUGGUAUGACAAAAUCACCAAACAGUUAGAAUAGAGCCUCUGAUUGUACUGGUGUGCCAUUAAAUACCAGCCCCAACUGGAUUACAGUGUAUAUCAGUAAUACUUUAAGGGAUAAAGAGAAAAAAUGUGCCACUUACUAUCAAGCUAUUUAAAGGAGCUAGGUAAUAAAAUAAUCAUAAUUUAUUUUUACUGUUGGUUCUUCCCUUUUUCAUCUUUUUGCCUUUUUUUUCCAUUGUCUUUCUUGUUACUAAUCCUGUGAAAAUUCACCCUCUGUUUGGCAGCCCGGGUCAUUGUUAUUUGUGCUAAGCUCCUAUAUUAUUAGUCUGUUAUCAUAUUGCCAUAAAAAAACUACUUGAAGCCAGGCGAGGUGGCUCAUGUCUGUAAUCCUAGCACUUUGGGAGGCCGAGGCAGGCAGAUCACUUGAGGUCAGGGGUUUGAAACCCGACUGGCCAACAUGGUGGAACCCUGUCUCUACUAAAAGUACAAAAAUUAGCUGGAAAUUGCUUGAACCCAGGAGGUGAAGGUUGCAGUGGGCCGAGAUCGUGCCACUACACUCCAGCCUGGGCAACAGAACAAGAGUCCGUCUCCAAAAAAAAUAAAAACAAACAAACAAACAAACAAACAAAAAAAAACAGCACAACUACUUGAGACUGGGUGAUUUAUACAGAAAAAAACAUUUUAUUGAUUCACAGUUCCAUAGGCUGUAUAGGAAGCAUGGGUGGGGAGGCCUCAGGAAACUUGCAAUCAUGGUGGAAGCCAAAGCAGGCACAUCUUACAUGGCCAGAGGAAGAAGCAAGCAAAGGUGGAGGUGCUACACACUUUUCAACCACCAGAUCUCAUGAGAACUCACGCACUAUCACGAGAACAGCAAGGGGGAAAUUCACCUUCAUGAUCCAGUCACCUCCCACUGGGCCCCUCCUCCAAUUCUGGGGAUUAUAAUUCCACAUGAGAUUUGGGCAGGGACACAAAUCCAAACCAUAUAAGCUCCAUUCUGCAUUCAAGUGUAUGUUGGUCUUGCCAAAAUUAUCAAUACCUUCUCCGUAAAUACCACUUUCAAGCCUUGUAGGUUAAGCCCUGAUUAUGUUUGUAAAAGUAGCUUGAUCUACAUGUCUACAAUUGUUCUCUAAUUUGCUUUAUCCAAAUGGAAAAAAAAACACACAAUAUUUUAGGCCUUGAUUUUCAUCAUGAAUUUUUAAAAAUCUAAAAUUGCCUCUUCAUUGUGUUAUUUCAAAAUCAUGAGAUAUCCUUUCAUUGCUUCUACUGAUAAGGUUGUUUGUAACUCAAAAUCAUAAUUGGUAGAUCAACAGAAUAAAAUUAUGAGAUACAAAUAUACAUUUGAUUAUUAUUGCUACUGGUUAGAGCCUUCACUAUGACAUGCAGUGACAUGCUCACAGAAAUGACAAGCCCUAAAACUUCUUGCUUUUUGGUUAAACACUUUAUGAUUAAACAUUUCAAUCUUUAAACUUUCUAAUAGUAUCUUGAAAUUGUGUAUCUCAUUUUAACAUUUUUAAGCCACUUAGACAAAUGACUUUUUGCCAUGCUUGCUUGACUUUUUUUCUUGCAUGGACUUACAGAUAAAGGUGGUCUCAUCCCUAAUGAACAUAUGAGGCCACAAGAAUUUCUCCUUUUUUUUUUUUUUUUUUUUUGUUGUUGUUGUUGUUUAUUUUUGAUACAGGGUCUUGCUCUGUCACCCAGGCUGGAGUACAGUGGCAGGAACAAAGCUCACUGCAGCCUCAGAGUCCUGGACUCAAACCAUACUCCCACCUCAGCCUCCUGAGUAGCUGAGACCCAGGAGCACUCACCACUUCCAGCUAAUUUUUUGUAGAGACAGGAUCUUAAACUCCUGGGUUCAAGCAGACUGCCCACCUCUGUCUCCCAUGUGCUGUGAUUACAGGAGUGAGCCACCAUGCUUGGACAGUUUCUCCUCUUGAAUCAUCAACAGUCCCUGUAAAGUCUCAAGAAAAGUGUUUGGAGUAUCCAUAAUGUGCUAAGUCACUUAGGAACAAAGUUACACAAAACACAUCCCCAGUUUUUGUCUCUAUGCUUUCAAGAUGGGUGAAACUUUAUGUUUGAAGUUUCAUGUUUUAUGCCAAGCAUGAUGAGAGAUAGAGGAAUGGGAAGACUUGGUCUUACAGGUUAAAGAUGUGAAACAUACAAAACAUGCUCUCAUGAGAUAAUUAGACAAACAAGUCAGUGUGAUUGAGAGCAACAUGCUGGGAACUGGUUUAGAGGCUCCUGGAGGUAAGGACAGAGUCACUGUUACAUGUUUGGGGUAUUUUGCUGAAGCAUCGCAGAGGCAGCAUUGUCCUCGUCAACAGGAGAUGGGGCGGGAGGAAAGGAGAGCAGAGGGCUGCAACCAAAGCAACCCAGGGUCCAGGUGACAGAUCUCCCCUAUUGGUAAAAUGUGAUUCAUGUGGUAGCACCGCACUGGGAGCUUCAGUACCUUUAACUUUCUCUCUCAGGCUUUUACACCUGGUGAACGUCUAGAAUAACUGCCACAGAAAAUACAUCUAUGACAUUUAAUCACUGAGUGUUCGAGAGAAGGCAAAGCCCGGACACCAAGUAAGCCAGGUACCCCUGAGGCAAACUCCAGAGGCUUCCCUGGGCCGUGAAACCAGCCAAAGAAGGCAAAAUUCACCCACCCUCCAAAAGACGUUUGCGUUCCCACGCAUGUUCUCCGCCCUGAGAUAGCUUAGAACACAGCUCUACCAACGACUUUUCAUUUCCAUUAACCUAUUCCUGAUUCUUUGAUUCAAGGAACCUUGCCAUCCUUAGCUCUUUGGAUUAUUUAUGAGGUCUGAUUUAUAAUACAAAAUUAUACAGUGUACCAUAGUUAAAACCUUGAAGGAAAAAAUGCAUUUUGUAUUUCUUCUUCUUGGAGAGGCCCAAACACCCCUCCCCAGGGUUGGAAAGGAGAGUGGAGGUAGGGUAAUGGAACUCCCUCUCAGGCCUCUGAAUAUGGAGAAAUUAAGAAGAAUGGGAUGGGGUUGGGGGACAGAGGUAGUAAGCAAACAAAUGACUUAUUUUUAAUCUAGAGUUACCCAUUUGGAGAGAGAUACAGGGUUAUAUCCUAACGGUACCUUUUUAAAAAAUAAGUCAUAAGUAUGCUCAUGCCCUAACAAGUUAGUGAAUUUUUCCAGUAAAAUUAAAAUUAAAUAGAAAGCCAUGGUAAAUUACCCAUUUCAUUUCUCCUUCUAGAUUUAAAAAAAAAAAAAGAGGCACUUUGUCGCUUCUUACUGUGAGUGCACUUCAGCCUUAAUACAUGCAUUUAUGUCAAGGGGGCCAUUUACACUGUUGUCUGCUGGAGUUUUUCUUCUUUCAACUUAGUAGGGAAUAUUUGUAAUCUUUAUUACCCCAAAUAAAUC